Molecule: ribosomal RNA, 244 nt
Filed under: Klebsiella pneumoniae
Lineage: Bacteria; Pseudomonadati; Pseudomonadota; Gammaproteobacteria; Enterobacterales; Enterobacteriaceae
Description: partial 16S ribosomal RNA
Rfam family: Bacterial small subunit ribosomal RNA
Source: RNAcentral
GAGGCAGCAGUAAGGAAUUUUCCACAAUGAGCGAAAGCUUGAUGGAGCGACACAGCGUGCAGGAUGAAGUUCUUCGGAAUGUAAACUGCUGUUAUAAGGGAAGAAAAAAUAGAAUAGGAAAUGAUUUUAUCUUGACGGUACCUUAUUAGAAAGCGACGGCAAACUAUGUGCCAGCAGCCGCGGUAAUACAUAGGUCGCAAGCGUUAUCCGGAAUUAUUGGGCGUAAAGCGUCCGUAGGUUUUUU